This 465-nucleotide ribosomal RNA is filed under the name Vreelandella stevensii. RNAcentral describes it as "partial 16S ribosomal RNA". It matches the Rfam family "Bacterial small subunit ribosomal RNA", at positions 338 to 795 of the family's 1533-position model. The record is from RNAcentral. Lineage: Bacteria; Pseudomonadati; Pseudomonadota; Gammaproteobacteria; Oceanospirillales; Halomonadaceae.
CCUACGUGGGGCUGCAGUGGGGAAUAUUGGACAAUGGGCGAAAGCCUGAUCCAGCCAUGCCGCGUGUGUGAAGAAGGCCUUCGGGUUGUAAAGCACUUUCAGUGGGGAAGAAAGCCUUGGGGCUAAUACCCUCGAGGAAGGACAUCACCCACAGAAGAAGCACCGGCUAACUCCGUGCCAGCAGCCGCGGUAAUACGGAGGGUGCGAGCGUUAAUCGGAAUUACUGGGCGUAAAGCGCGCGUAGGCGGUCUGAUAAGCCGGUUGUGAAAGCCCCGGGCUCAACCUGGGAACGGCAUCCGGAACUGUCAGGCUAGAGGGCAGGAGAGGAAGGUAGAAUUCCCGGUGUAGCGGUGAAAUGCGUAGAGAUCGGGAGGAAUACCAGUGGCGAAGGCGGCCUUCUGGACUGACACUGACGCUGAGGUGCGAAAGCGUGGGUAGCAAACAGGAUUAGAUACCCUAGUAGUC